Long non-coding RNA from Triticum aestivum (bread wheat), 1637 nucleotides. RefSeq lists it as uncharacterized. The transcript is spliced from 2 exons. The record is from RefSeq and is a predicted model, not a curated record. Lineage: Eukaryota; Viridiplantae; Streptophyta; Magnoliopsida; Poales; Poaceae.
UUGGGUUGUUUGUUUUUGCGUGCAAAACGCUUUGUCCAAUCCGCUCCGCGUGCUCGCACCACACCCAAUCCCAUCCUCUCCCCUGGUCGUCCCGAUCCACACCAGCCGCCACACAACCCUAGCCCCUUUCCCCUCGAUCCCCACAGCCCCUCCCUCCUCCUCGCUCUCCGCCAUGGCCUCUGCACUAGGAGCCUCUCCAUGGCCUCCUACCCAUCCCCCCCACCACCACAGGUGCACACAGACGGUGGAUCUGUGCCGGAGAAGAGCAGCUCCAGUUAUGGUGGGGUACAUCUGUGCCGAAGAUGAAGGAGGUCCGCCGCCCGUCUUUGCCUCCUCGCUGCGUCCUUGUUGCUGCUCCUCCUCUCUCUCUCUCCGCACCUAGCAGUGCAGCAGCCGGGACAAGGGGAAGGAGCAGCUCAACCCGGCUCCAUCUCUCUCUGGAUGAGCAGGUGGCGAGGGAAGCCGCCACAGCUAGCGGCGGUGCUGCACAGGAACGUCCACCUCCAGGUCUCCAUCCUGUCUCAGAUCCCUUUCCGUUUCAGUGUUGUUCUUUUUUCUCUUGGUGUGCGCUCUCCUGCAUCUCGCGCGGCAGGGAGUGGUGGUGACUAGCAUAGAAGGCGGAGGAGGUCAUUGGAGCCGGCUUCCCUUCCGCUUUGGCUGCCAAGCUCCGCGCGUUGGUGAGUCCCUCUCUCUAUCCCUCUACAUCUCUCCCUCUCUCUGUCAGAGGGCAGCUACCAACCCCGAGGUGCAGGCGGCCAUGGAAAAGCAGAAGAUGCCACACCUAGCUUUCCCCCUUGCCUCCUGCCCUUUCUCUUCAGCUCAUUUAUUUACAUGUGCAAAUUCUCUUUUAUCUAUGCCUGCAAGGUGUUUGAUGAAAGUUCAGUAAGGCUUUGAGGGAAUACCAAACAAGAGAGGAUCCAGUAUCUGUAACAUGCAUCAGAUAUAGAUUGCCGGCGGGUGGAUAUAUUGCUCAAAAGAUGUCACUAGUGCUGUACUGCUGUAGAUGCCAUUGAUUUCAUAUAUCAAAGCAUUACAGCUCUUUCAGAUCCUUUGUAUUUCCACUUAGUUAGCUUGAAAAUCUUGUCUACUACGGACACCUCUUGAAAAUUGCAAAGGAGUUCUAACUCCCAACAAGCUUAUUUCCUUAAAAAAUGUAACUGGUACAAUGUUCUACGUACCUUAUGAGAGGUCAGCCCCGGCAUCACAGUCCAUUCCUGAAGAAGUUCACAUGCAUGGUGUUGAUUGUUGAGUUUGCUUGGUUAACGGAAUGACAUGCCUAUGCAGAUCAGCAGGGGGAAGGUCCAGGGUGAAACCUUCAGGAGGGAUUUGAUGUUGCUAUUGUUUCAGUUUGCAGAUAGAGGAUGUGAUUCCAGCAAGACAGAGACGAUGGCGAUGACAAGUGAGAUUUAUGUUAAGGAGUAUUAGCAUAUGCUCACAGGAUCACUGGAAGUUUAUAAAUGUAUCCGCAAUGAUUGUUGCUUUCUUAUUGACACAUAAUUGAAUUAUAAUUAUAGACAGUAAGAGUAGUUGUCUUUUCAUUUGUUAGAAAACAUAGUGUACCUUUAUAAUCGUAGUUAUAUGCAAUGAUCCAUCAUGUAUUUUUGUUUAAAACUGCAACCCGUAAUUGUUUGAUGUCA